UAAUAGUGUAUAUUAAAGUUGUUGCAGUUAAAAAGCUCGUAGUUGAAUGUUGGUGUCGAACGAGUGGUCAGCUUCGGCUGUACUGCUCUCUCGACUCCUUCCUUCUGUGGACUACGUCGCACUUUACUGUGUGGCGCUAGGACGCAGAUCGUUUACUGUGAAAAAAUUAGAGUGUUCAAAGCAGGCCGUACGCUUGAAUACAUUAGCAUGGAAUAAUGGAAUAGGACGUCGGGCCUAUUUUGUUGGUUCUAGGACCGUCGUAAUGAUUAAUAGGGACAGUUGGGGCCGUUUAUAUUCCGUAGUCAGAGGUGAAAUUCUUGGAUUUACGGAAGAUAAACUACUGCGAAAGCAUUCGGCAAGGAUGUUUNCGUUA
This 373-nucleotide ribosomal RNA is filed under the name uncultured eukaryote. RNAcentral describes it as "partial 18S ribosomal RNA". It matches the Rfam family "Eukaryotic small subunit ribosomal RNA", at positions 592 to 975 of the family's 1831-position model. The record is from RNAcentral.